RNAcentral lists this long non-coding RNA (373 nucleotides) under Astyanax mexicanus (Mexican tetra). RNAcentral describes it as "lncRNA (ENSAMXG00005003459.1)". Lineage: Eukaryota; Metazoa; Chordata; Actinopteri; Characiformes; Acestrorhamphidae. The record is from RNAcentral.
CAAAUCUCCAAACCUCAAAAUCUAAGCACCAUGUAAACCUAUUCAAUUUGGAUGAUAUUUUAAAUUUUCUUUCUGAGAACAGGAUCGUAAAGAGGCAGAAGAAAAGAGCCAGAAUGAGGCAACGGGAUUAUCAGAAUGUUGUCCCUGCUGUACAGAAUGACGCCACCAACGUAGCUCCUCAACCCAAACCAAGGCCCCCUGAUCGCGUCCACUACUACAACCGAGCAGAUACGGUUGGUCAGUCUAUGUCCAUUGAUGAUGCCUAUACAGCUCUGGACCUGCAGACCAGGUCUACUGAUGAGGACUACACAGCUCUGGACCCCAGGUUAACUGAGUACAACAAUGUCUGAAAGACUUUCAAAAAUUAUACCUA